CCUACGGGGGGCUGCAGUGGGGAAUCUUGCACAAUGGGGGAAACCCUGAUGCAGCGACGCCGCGUGAGUGAAGAAGUAUUUCGUUAUUUAAAGCUCUAUCAGCAGGGAAGAAAAUGACGGUACCUGAGUAAGAAGCCUCGGCUAACUACGUGCCAGCAGCCGCGGGAAUACGUAGGGGGCAAGCGUUAUCCGGAUUUACGGGGUGUAAAGGGAGCGUAGACGGCAGUGCAAGUCUGGAGUGAAAGGCGGGGGCUCAACACCCGGACUGCUCUAGAAACUGUACGGCUGGAGUGCAGGAGAGGUAAGUGGAAUUCCUAGUGUAGCGGUGAAAUGCGUAGAUAUUAGGAAGAACACCAGUGGCGAAGGCGGCUUACUGGACUGUAACUGACGUUGAGGCUCGAAAGCGUGGGGAGCGAACAGGAUUAGAUACCCGAGUAGUC
RNAcentral lists this ribosomal RNA (440 nucleotides) under uncultured bacterium. Its description in RNAcentral is "partial 16S ribosomal RNA". It matches the Rfam family "Bacterial small subunit ribosomal RNA", at positions 338 to 795 of the family's 1533-position model. The record is from RNAcentral.